UAUGGCUAUAUCACGUUAAAACACGGGUUCCCGUACAAUCACUGAAGUUAAGCAACGUCGAUCCUGGACAGUACCUAGAUGGAUGACCGUUUUGGAAUACCAGGUGCU
This is a non-coding RNA of Acanthosepion pharaonis, 108 nucleotides long. The record is from the annotation of a GenBank genome assembly. Lineage: Eukaryota; Metazoa; Mollusca; Cephalopoda; Sepiida; Sepiidae.